RNAcentral lists this ribosomal RNA (431 nucleotides) under uncultured bacterium. Its description in RNAcentral is "partial 16S ribosomal RNA". It matches the Rfam family "Bacterial small subunit ribosomal RNA", at positions 29 to 505 of the family's 1533-position model. The record is from RNAcentral.
AACGAACGCUGGCGGCAUGCCUAACACAUGCAAGUCGAACGAGACCUUCGGGUCUAGUGGCGCACGGGUGCGUAACGCGUGGGAACCUGCCCUUAGGUUCGGAAUAACUCCCCGAAAGGGGUGCUAAUACCGGAUAAUGUCUUCGGACCAAAGAUUUAUCGCCUUUGGAUGGGCCCGCGUUGGAUUAGCUAGUUGGUAGGGUAAAAGCCUACCAAGGCGACGAUCCAUAGCUGGUCUGAUAGGAUGAUCAGCCACACUGGGACUGAGACACGGCCCAGACUCCUACGGGAGGCAGCAGUGGGGAAUAUUGGACGAUGGGCGAAAGCCUGAUCCAGCAAUGCCGCGUGAGGGAUGAAGGCCUUAGGGUUGUAAAGCUCUUUUACCCGGGAUGAUAAUGACAGUACCGGGAGAAUACGCUCCGGCUAACUCCG